AAAUAGUUGUCAAGAUAUAUAAACAACAAUAGGAUUUGGGUGGUAUAUAUUAAGCAAUAACAAAAUAGGUCAUUAAAUGUAGGGUGUACGCUGUUAUGGAGCAGACUGUAAAUUCUUUCACCUGGCACAGCGGUGAAGCGAUAACACGACCCCGAUGUCAAGCUGCGAGGAUCGCGAGAUCAUCUCGAGAUUAGUACAUUCCGUGUAAAAUUUAAUGUAAUGACGCGCUUACAUGUAUGCUACUAAAUUAUACACAUGCUAUCGGA
This is a long non-coding RNA of Acromyrmex echinatior (Panamanian leafcutter ant), 266 nucleotides long. RefSeq lists it as uncharacterized. The record is from RefSeq and is a predicted model, not a curated record. Lineage: Eukaryota; Metazoa; Arthropoda; Insecta; Hymenoptera; Formicidae.